GCAGACGUGUCUGUAGAACCUGCAUACUGGCAAUCAAACUUGUGAAUAAAGAUUUGUUGAAAACUCCAGUAGUCGUUUCUCAGACCACUAAAUUAUCUUGUCUCAGACAUUCAGAAAAUAUUGAU
Amblyraja radiata (thorny skate) is the source of this 125-nucleotide long non-coding RNA. RefSeq lists it as uncharacterized. The record is from RefSeq and is a predicted model, not a curated record. The transcript is spliced from 3 exons. NCBI's taxonomy places the organism in Eukaryota, Metazoa, Chordata, Chondrichthyes, Rajiformes, Rajidae.